GGGGCCAUAGCUCAGUUGGCAGAGCACCGCCUUUGCACGGCGGGUGCCGGGGUUCGAUUCCCCGUGGCUCCA
RNAcentral lists this transfer RNA (72 nucleotides) under Actinomycetota bacterium. Its description in RNAcentral is "tRNA-Ala". It matches the Rfam family "tRNA". From Rfam's summary of the family: Transfer RNA (tRNA) molecules are approximately 80 nucleotides in length. Their secondary structure includes four short double-helical elements and three loops (D, anti-codon, and T loops). Lineage: Bacteria; Bacillati; Actinomycetota. The record is from RNAcentral.